AACAGGAUUAGAUACCCUGGUAGUCCACGCCGUAAACGAUGUCGACUUGGAGGUUGUGCCCUUGAGGCGUGGCUUCCGGAGCUAACGCGUUAAGUCGACCGCCUGGGGAGUACGGCCGCAAGGUUAAAACUCAAAUGAAUUGACGGGGGCCCGCACAAGCGGUGGAGCAUGUGGUUUAAUUCGAUGCAACGCGAAGAACCUUACCUACUCUUGACAUCCAGAGAACUUAGCAGAGAUGCUUCGGUGCCUUCGGGAACUCUGAGACAGGUGCUGCAUGGCUGUCGUCAGCUCGUGUUGUGAAACGUUGGGUUAAGUCCCGCAACGAGCGCAACCCUUAUCCUUUGUUGCCAGCGGUUAGGCCGGGAACUCAAAGGAGACUGCCAGUGAUAAACUGGAGGAAGGUGGGGAUGACGUCAAGUCAUCAUGGCCCUUACGAGUAGGGCUACACACGUGCUACAAUGGCAUAUACAAAGAGAAGCGACCUCGCGAGAGCAAGCGGACCUCAUAAAGUAUGUCGUAGUCCGGAUUGGAGUCUGCAACUCGACUCCAUGAAGUCGGAAUCGCUAGUAAUCGUGGAUCGGAAUGCCACGGUGAAUACGUUCCCGGGCCUUGUACACACCGCCCGUCACACCAUGGGAGUGGGUUGCAAAAGAAGUAGGUAGCUUAACCUUCGGGAGGGCGCUUACCACUUUGUGAUUCAUGACUGGGGUGAAGUCGUAACAAGGUAACC
RNAcentral lists this ribosomal RNA (730 nucleotides) under uncultured bacterium. RNAcentral describes it as "bacterial SSU rRNA". It matches the Rfam family "Bacterial small subunit ribosomal RNA", at positions 771 to 1501 of the family's 1533-position model. The record is from RNAcentral.